RNAcentral lists this ribosomal RNA (253 nucleotides) under uncultured bacterium. RNAcentral describes it as "partial 16S ribosomal RNA". It matches the Rfam family "Bacterial small subunit ribosomal RNA", at positions 524 to 776 of the family's 1533-position model. The record is from RNAcentral.
CACGUAGGGCGCAAGCGUUGUCCGGAAUUAUUGGGCGUAAAGAGCUCGUAGGCGGUCUGUUGCGUCCGCUGUGAAAACUCGGGGCUUAACCCCGAGCCUGCAGUGGAUACGGGCAGACUAGAGGUAGGUAGGGGAGAAUGGAAUUCCCGGUGUAGCGGUGAAAUGCGCAGAUAUCGGGAGGAACACCGGUGGCGAAGGCGGCUUUCUGGGCCCUACCUGACGCUGAGACGCGAAAGCGUGGGGAGCGAACCGG